AGGACGAACGCUGGCGGCGUGCUUAACACAUGCAAGUCGAGCGGUAAGGCCCUUUCGGGGGUACACGAGCGGCGAACGGGUGAGUAACACGUGAGUAAUCUGCCCUCCACUUGGGGAUAAGCUUCGGAAACGGGGUCUAAUACCUGAUACGACAACUACCUGCAUGGGUUGGUUGUGGAAAGUUUUUUCGGCGGGGGAUGUGCUCGCGGCCUAUCAGCUUGUUGGUGGGGUAACGGCCUACCAAGGCUUCGACGGGGUAGCCGGAACCUGAGAGGGUGACCGGCCACACUGGGACUGAGACACGGCCCAGACCUCCUACGGGAGGCAGCAGG
This 332-nucleotide ribosomal RNA is filed under the name uncultured soil bacterium. RNAcentral describes it as "bacterial SSU rRNA". It matches the Rfam family "Bacterial small subunit ribosomal RNA", at positions 26 to 355 of the family's 1533-position model. The record is from RNAcentral.